GCAUUUUUGAGAAAGUGAAGAAUGGAGUUGAAGAUAAGGGUCGUAGACUCAAGAAAAGAGAAGAAAAUUGAAGAAUUGAAGAGUCGACGCACCGCUCGGUGGCAAAUUCCACUGCCGGGCGGUCCAGGGCAAGGAGUAGGCACCUAGCGUGGGCACUGGGCGAAUUUGCGAUUAAAGGCAAACCGCCGGGCGGUAGACCCUUGCUGCCGGGCGGUAGUGCGAUUUGAGGGAAACCGCCGGGCGGAACAAGUGUGGUGCCGAGCGGUUGUCUGCUGGGCUUGGACCUGUUUUCUGUUGCGCUUCUCACCUAUAAAUAGCCCUAUUGCGAGUUUAGAUGGAUUCUUUUGACAGAAGGGGGCGACCAGACCUAGUUUCACUCUCUGGAGAGGAUCUCUUGGAUGCUUAGGCUCCUUUUCAUCUUNUCUAGGGUUUGCUUUUCCAUUCUUCAUCCAUUUUUCAUCUAGUUUCACCAUGACAAUGGUUUACUAAACCCUGUUGUUGUUGGGGGAAACAAUGUAAUCUUUUGAUACUCUCUUUUAUUGAAACUCUUGUUUAUUUAUAUGGUUUCCAUAUGCUUUGAUUGUUAAUUGUUGGGUUCUCAUCUGUGCUUAAUGCUUUUAUCGUUUAACUCAUUCGAUAACUGUUGUUUGUCUUUAUUGAUACGGAGACGUACAGUAAUGUCAUGAACUGGUGAGUAAUUCCUUGAUUAAGCAAUACCACCUAGGGAUAGGGGUAGGAAGAUCAAUUGUUUUUCACUUCUGCUCUAUAAUUCUUUAUUAAUUGCUAGGGGAGGCUAGGGAUAGCAAGCCAGUAAUUAGUAAUAGGCUCUUUUCACCGAGGGAUCGGGUUAAGGGUAGGCUAAGAAAGUUGCAUGACAAUUAAUUAAUCAAGCUAAUAAUUCAAGAGGAGUAAAUAAGAGAGAGCGGAUAAGAUGAAAUUGUAAACCCCCAACAACUUCAUUCAUCCAUUGUUUUCUUCUCGUCGAUUGAAUCAAUCUCUUUUGCAUGUUUAUAUUUUGUUCUCACACCCAAUUAAUUAAUUUUUAUUUUCAAGUCUUACGAUCUUAAUUCACACGAACGAUAAGGCCUUUUGAGUCUCUUGGGAAAACGAUACUUGGACUUACCAUUUAUUAUUACUUGAUACGAUUUAGUAUGCUUGCCAAUCCGUUAACAGAGGAUGAUACUUGUUGUUGAAUGUAAAAACUAAACUCUAAGUGUUUUAACUGUCUAUUGAUAAUAUACUCUUUGGUUCCUUGCUUUACAUAUAUAUGUUGUUGUUAAUGAGAAAAAAAAAUACUAUUGUUUUCUCUGCCUCACGUCUUAUACGCUUUG
This 1331-nucleotide long non-coding RNA is filed under the name Vigna radiata. RNAcentral's name for it is "long non-coding RNA (VRAD_LNC015984)". Lineage: Eukaryota; Viridiplantae; Streptophyta; Magnoliopsida; Fabales; Fabaceae. The record is from RNAcentral.